UACGGGGGGGGUAAGCGUUGUUCGGAAUUACUGGGCGUAAAGGGCUCGUAGGCGGCCAACUAAGUCAUACGUGAAAUCCCUCAGCUUAACUGGGGAACUGCGUGUGAUACUGGAUGGCUUGGAUUUGGGAGAGGGAUGCGGAAUUCCAGGUGUAGCGGUGAAAUGCGUAGAUAUCUGGAGGAACACCGGUGGCGAAGGCGGCAUCCUGGACCAACACUGACGCUGAGGAGCGAAAGCCAGGGGAGCAAACGGG
Molecule: ribosomal RNA, 253 nt
Filed under: uncultured bacterium
Lineage: Bacteria
Description: partial 16S ribosomal RNA
Rfam family: Bacterial small subunit ribosomal RNA
Source: RNAcentral